GUGUUCGAUUUAUCAGCACAUAUGCCAAAAUUGAAAUGCUACUGAAUAAAUUAGCAUGGCCUCUGCACAAAGAUGACAUAAAACUUUGUGAAGCAUUACAUGUUUUG
Small nuclear RNA from Callithrix jacchus (white-tufted-ear marmoset), 107 nucleotides. Lineage: Eukaryota; Metazoa; Chordata; Mammalia; Primates; Cebidae. The record is from Ensembl.